CAGCCGCCGCGGUAAUACCAGCCCCGCGAGUGGUCGGGACGGUUAUUGGGCCUAAAGCGCCCGUAGCCGGCCCGGCAAGUCCCUCCUUAAAGCCUCGGGCCCAACCCGAGGACGGGGGGGAUACUGCCGGGCUAGGGGGCGGGAGAGGCCGGCGGUACUCCCGGGGUAGGGGCGAAAUCCGUUAAUCCCGGGAGGACCACCAGUGGCGAAGGCGGCCGGCUGGAACGCGCCCGACGGUGAGGGGCGAAAGCCGGGGGAGCGAACCGGAUUAGAUACCCGGGUAGUCCCGGCUGUAAACGAUGCGGGCUAGGUGUCGGGUGAGCUUCGAGCUCGCCCGGUGCCGUAGGGAAGCCGUUAAGCCCGCCGCCUGGGGAGUACGGCCGCAAGGUUGAAACUUAAAGGAAUUGGCGGG
This 412-nucleotide ribosomal RNA is filed under the name uncultured microorganism. RNAcentral's name for it is "bacterial SSU rRNA". It matches the Rfam family "Archaeal small subunit ribosomal RNA", at positions 459 to 872 of the family's 1478-position model. The record is from RNAcentral.